Molecule: ribosomal RNA, 254 nt
Filed under: uncultured bacterium
Lineage: Bacteria
Description: partial 16S ribosomal RNA
Rfam family: Bacterial small subunit ribosomal RNA
Source: RNAcentral
UACGUAGGGGGCGAGCGUUGUCCGGAGUUACUGGGCGUAAAGCGCACGCAGGCGGUCUGCUAAGUUUUGGAGUGACAGUUGGUGGCUUAACUGCCAAAGUGCUUCGAAAACUGACAGACUUGAGGGCUUCAGAGGGACACGGAAUUCCGGGUGGAGUGGUGAAAUGCGUAGAGAUCCGGAGGAACACCAAAGGCGAAGGCAGUGUCCUGGGGAGUACCUGACGCUCAGGUGCGAAAGCCAGGGGAGCGAACGGG